Molecule: transfer-messenger RNA, 399 nt
Filed under: Chloroflexota bacterium
Lineage: Bacteria; Bacillati; Chloroflexota
Also listed under: 1 other name
Description: Chloroflexi bacterium (anaerobic digester metagenome) transfer-messenger RNA
Rfam family: transfer-messenger RNA
About the family: Bacterial tmRNA, also known as 10Sa RNA or SsrA, is named for its dual tRNA and mRNA-like properties. Its role is to liberate the mRNA from a stalled ribosome.
Source: RNAcentral
GGGGAUGACAGGCUUCGACAGGGAGGGCUGGUCAGCGACUGCAAGCCGGGGCGCCUCACCCCCGUAACCAAGGGGCAACGCAUACAAGUGCCAACGACACUUAUGCACCGGCUUACGCUCUCGCCGCCUAAUCGCGGAUAGAGCCCAAGCCAUUGGUCGCCAGAGCGCGGCCACGUCCGCCCUCUGACCUUUGCCGACGGCAGGGGUGCGGGCGACGAAAAGUCGGCAUGCGGCCGGCAGGACGCCGAUAGCGUCGGCCCAAGACUCAUCGGCUGGUGGCUCAUCAAUCCUUGUCGGUCGGGAUGAGAGUCACGAGAAAACAACGCAGACCGACUAAGCUUGUAGUAUGUCUCUGGUCGAACUUUCUGGACGCGGGUUCGAUUCCCGCCAUCUCCACCU